RNAcentral lists this ribosomal RNA (330 nucleotides) under Paravaejovis spinigerus. RNAcentral's name for it is "partial 12S ribosomal RNA". The record is from RNAcentral. Lineage: Eukaryota; Metazoa; Arthropoda; Arachnida; Scorpiones; Vaejovidae.
UAAAAUUUAUAAAAUUAGGUAGUAAAGAAAUUUCUGAAACCUAAAGAAUUUGGCGGUAUUUUAAAUAAUUGGAGGAACCUGUUAUUUAAUUGACAAUCCACAACAAAUCUUACCUAAAUUUUAUUUGUAUAUCGUCGUUUUGAUAAUAUUUAAAAAUAAUAAUCAAUUUUAAUAAAUUUUUAAAAUUCAGAUCAAGGUGCAGUAUAUUUAGGUUAUAAUGGGUUACAAUAUAAUUAUAUAUAAUGAAUAUAGACUUGAAAUUAUAUUGAAGGUGGAUUCAAAAGUAAAAUUAAAUUAAAAAGCUAAUUUGAUUAAUAAUUUAAAAUAUGC